UACAAACCUUCCAUUUUAUUUUUCAGCCCCCUCUCUCUAAAAUCAUGGCUCUCAGAAACGCAAAAUCCUUCUGUCUCUUAGAAAUUCAGCCACCUCCUCUCUCGGAUCUCUGCCCUCGCAGCCCUUUCAUGUCUCAAAUCUUCUCUGCCUGCAACUGAACAACGUACCUCCCCCUUUGUUGACUAGCCCAUCCGUGGUAGAAAAUCGGAAAAACUGACAGCCAAAGGUAAAAUCAUCCUCCAAUCUGUUGUGUUCAUGUCUCAGAUUUAUUUGUUUUAGAGAAAUAGAACUAAAUCUAACACAUGCAUGUCGUUUUAGUUGUUUGAGGACCCCCAAUAAUUUCAAAUCCGAGAGAACAACACAAGAACAACACCCUGAAUCUCCAUCUCAUCUCAACAAAAUCAUGUCUCCCAAGCCUCAAGCCAUCACAGAUUCGAUUGACAGUCUUGUAGAUCGAGACCACUGCACACAUGCAACGUAGGUGUCCGAGAUGCACCAAGAGACUGAAGAGACAACCUCGAAGAGCUCCCAAACUCACGGAUCUGCAAAUUGUUAGCGUACAACCGAGAGACAACAACCUGGAGCUUCCGGUCUAGUGGUUACGGAAGGCAGCAUAAAUGACAAAUGUCUCGGCCUCUGCAAAUAAGUAAGAGGUAUACGGAUCCAUGAUAGAGCCAAGGACACAGAAGUAAACACACAAGAGCAACGGAGGAAAACAGCACUGGCCGCAUGACCCAGAUCGAUGCAUCUGGGAGGUAAAAUUUGAAUCCCUGCAAGUGUAGUUGUUGUAGAUCUGGUAAUAAUAUCUGUACUCAGUUCUGUGGUGUAUGGAUCUGUGAUUUAAUUGUGCUUCCUCCAUGCAUUGCAAAACUGAGCUGCAGAAAUUAACUGCUCUAAAGUUCGUUUAUGUGCUGGAUCUGCAACAAUCACCCCCAAACUUGCAUCUGUGAAUGGCUUUUAUAUGUUGACUGCUUUAAAUUUCCAGCAUAGUGUAGAUGUGGUUGAUGUGAACGUUAGACUUGCUGCUGGGUGCAGGAUUCCAGCAUAGGACGCGCUUUAUUUUCCACGUUCGCAACCUGCAAUUAACCAAUAUGCGU
Non-coding RNA from Malus domestica (apple), 1097 nucleotides. NCBI's taxonomy places the organism in Eukaryota, Viridiplantae, Streptophyta, Magnoliopsida, Rosales, Rosaceae. The record is from RefSeq and is a predicted model, not a curated record.